RNA transcript from Tarenaya hassleriana, 966 nucleotides. RefSeq lists it as uncharacterized. The record is from RefSeq and is a predicted model, not a curated record. Lineage: Eukaryota; Viridiplantae; Streptophyta; Magnoliopsida; Brassicales; Cleomaceae. The transcript is spliced from 2 exons.
CAAAAUAAAGGCUUUUGAGAGAGAGAGAGAGAGAGCCAAUAGAAACACGAGACGACUAAAUAAAUACUUAGCAUUAGCAGCACGGAAAGGGUGCAAGAGAAACCGUAGUUACGAGAGAGAGAGAGAGAUUUGACAAAUUUACGUCAAAGGGAAGAAGAAGGGUUAAGUCGGAGUAUUGCGGUUGCGGCGGCGGCGGAGGGUUUAGGGUUUUCACGAGCCACCAUUCUUACGAGAGCGACCCUUACCGGAAUCAUCGUCUUCUUCAACGAAUGUGACCCAUUCUCUCUAUAAUCAAACCCUAAAACCCCUUUUUCUCCCCCAUUCCCAGAAGAAUAAGAGAAGCUCCAAUGGGGACGAGGAGUGAGAAGAUGCCGUCCACGAACAGGGAGUGGCAGAGCAACCACUACUACUGCUACGGGUAUGGAGAGUACAUAGAGAAGAGACAGCUGUUCCUGAGGAGCUACCAGUUCUCGAGGAAGAGGAGCUUGUCGGAGAGGAUCCACAGAUCUGUGAGGAGAGUUAAGAAAGUUGUCUGGUUACGUCUGAGAUCUGCUCGUAGGCUCAGACGCGUCGUCUGGUACCGUCUCCGGUCGGCUUUCUUUCACCGCCGGCGACGCUUCUUCUUCCGUCUCCGACACGAACCCUCCUACUGCUUCUAACUCUCCUCUUCGCUUCCCCUCUUCCCCCAUUUCUCUGGCUGAAUCCGAAUAUCAAGUUUAAGGAGUUUGGUAAGAAGAUGAACACGAGAAAUGGUCAAAAGGGAGGGUUUCCCAUGGAGUCAUGCAAGAAACGUGAAUAUGCAUUCAUAUUCUUCACACGCGCGAACACACGUAAAGGGAGUGGUCGGUCAAAAGUCAAAACCAAGGGUGGUGGUCAAACCGGAUUUGAUUCGGUUGAGUUUGGAUUUCGGUUAACCAAAUCAAAUAUGGAUUCAGUUUGUAAAUUCAUUGUAUAAUAAAAAAAAAA